CCUUGGAGAAGUUGGCAUGCUAAUGGAAAUAGAAUGAGUCCUUUGAUCGUUGAUGGGUUGAAAUUUGUCAGAGCGGUUCUCAGAAGCAAUAGUUCCAUUUCCCAUAGCCGAUGAAGCGAUAGGAUGAGAACCACUGGGUUGGUUCUGAUUACUAUUCGAGCUACAGUUGCUAUCAAAGCCGGUCACUUCUUUGGAUAAGAUGUAUUUUAUGAGUGUUGGAAUGGAUUCUUCGUGCUUUGCUAAAUCUUGGGUUUCCAUUCUAAAACAGCUAAACCUCCUACUUUGCUAAAUCUUUUACAGCUGAUGAAGGCAAGAUUUUUAAUCACAGUUAUCAGAUUUCUCAGAAAACCAGUGUUCGGG
Molecule: unclassified non-coding RNA, 360 nt
Filed under: Hevea brasiliensis (rubber tree)
Lineage: Eukaryota; Viridiplantae; Streptophyta; Magnoliopsida; Malpighiales; Euphorbiaceae
Source: RNAcentral